This is a long non-coding RNA of Dreissena polymorpha, 1508 nucleotides long. RefSeq lists it as uncharacterized. Lineage: Eukaryota; Metazoa; Mollusca; Bivalvia; Myida; Dreissenidae. The transcript is spliced from 5 exons. The record is from RefSeq and is a predicted model, not a curated record.
AACUUUUGCUAUAUUGAAGAUAGCAUCUUCAUAUUUGGCAGGCAUGUGUAUCUCGUGAAGCUGCACAUUUUGAGUGGUGAAAGGUCAAGGUCAUCGUUCAAGGUCAAAGGUAAAAAAAACUAAAUCAAAGCGGCGCAGAAGGGGACAUAGUGUUUCUGACAAACACAUUUCUUGUUUUAAACUUUUCCCACUUAGAAGCAAGUGAAAAUAGCUAUGUGCAAACAGCAGUAACUUGCAGUCUGUUCAGGUUUUAUGCUGUUUGCUGCUCAUCAGUAUCUAAUGGUAUCUUACUUGAAUCCAGUAAGAAAGGUUUUAACCUUUUUCCACUUUGAUACGUAUUUUGACACAUUUGUAGGCCCAUAGAAAGUUAAAUUUUAUAAAAUACCUUUCUUACUAGAUUCAAGUUUUAAAGGCUUAAUUUUCAACCCUAAGAUACUGAUGAGCAGCAAACAGCAUAAAACUUGAACAAACUGCGAAAUACUCGCAGGCUGUUCUGGUUUUAUGCUGUUUUCACGUUGCUUCAUAUGGGGGAAAGGGUUAAAUUAAAUAUAACUUUCAAAGGAAAUUCGAAUGGGUGAAAAAACAUAUCUAAGUGGUUAAAGUUUAAAUCCACAAAGAGGGGUUAUGUUUUAGUCUCUCUGUCAGUUUGUCUGUCUCUGUGUGUCUGCAUAAGUUCAAGGAACAAACUAUUUUUUCCAGCUAUUAAAUUAAAACUUUUAAUGUGUUAUCACCAUGAAGUGUAGAUGUUAAAGACAGUUUUUAUGACUAAUUAUCCACACAUUCAAGAGGUAUGUGUGCUCGAACAUAGCUCUCAUAGGACUGAGGUGGCAAAUAGUAAGCUUUGUGACACAGCCAUAGCUCUCAUAGGACUGAGGUGGCAAAUAGUAAGCUUUGUGACACAGCCAUAGCUCUCAUAGGACUGAGGUGGCAAAUAGUAAGCUUUGUGACACAGCCAUAGCUCUCAUAGGACUGAGGUGGCAAAUAGUAAGCUUUAUGACACAGCCAUAGCUCUCAUAGGACUGAGGUGGCAAAUAGUAAGCUUUGUGACACAGCCAUAGCUCUCAUAGGACUGAGGUGGCAAAUAGUAAGCUUUGUGACACAGCCAUAGCUCUCAUAGGACUGAGGUGGCAAAUAGUAAGCUUUGUGACACAGCCAUAGCUCUCAUAGGACUGAGGUGGCAAAUAGUAAGCUUUGUGACACAGCCAUAGCUCUCAUAGGACUGAGGUGGCAAAUAGUAAGCUUUGUGACACAGCCAUAGCUCUCAUAGGACCGAGAUGGCAAAUAGUAAGCUUUGUGACACAGCCAUAGCUCUCAUAGGACUGAGGUAGCAAAUAGUAAGCUUUGUGACACACCUAUAAUUGUUAACUCAUUGCUUGUUAGUUGAUCCUUAAAUUCAAAUAAGUUUAUUUUAAUUAAGUUUAUGCGUCAUAAUUUGUUUUGUCUUUUGGUAGUAGAUAAAUUGAUGCUGUACUUUUUAAUUUUUUAAUUGUAUUGGUUAAGGUCAAAAU